RNAcentral lists this ribosomal RNA (427 nucleotides) under uncultured bacterium. RNAcentral's name for it is "bacterial SSU rRNA". It matches the Rfam family "Bacterial small subunit ribosomal RNA", at positions 355 to 774 of the family's 1533-position model. The record is from RNAcentral.
UAGGGAAUAUUGGACAAUGGGCGCAAGCCUGAUCCAGCCAUGCCGCGUGAGUGAAGAAGGCCCUCGGGUUGUAAAGCUCUUUUGUCCGGAAAGAAAAGCAUCGGGUUAAUACCCCGGUGUUCUGACGGUACCGGAAGAAUAAGCACCGGCUAACUUCGUGCCAGCAGCCGCGGUAAUACGAAGGGUGCAAGCGUUACUCGGAAUUACUGGGCGUAAAGCGUGCGUAGGUGGUUCGUUAAGUCUGAUGUGAAAGCCCUGGGCUCAACCUGGGAAUGGCAUUGGNAACUGGCGGACUGGAGUGCGGUAGAGGGUAGCGGAAUUCCCGGUGUAGCAGUGAAAUGCGUAGAGAUCGGGAGGAACAUCCGUGGCGAAGGCGGCUACCUGGACCAGCACUGACACUGAGGCACGAAAGCGUGGGGAGCAAACA